This 388-nucleotide ribosomal RNA is filed under the name uncultured Alphaproteobacteria bacterium. RNAcentral describes it as "bacterial SSU rRNA". It matches the Rfam family "Bacterial small subunit ribosomal RNA", at positions 9 to 426 of the family's 1533-position model. The record is from RNAcentral. Lineage: Bacteria; Pseudomonadati; Pseudomonadota; Alphaproteobacteria.
GAGUUUGAUCCUGGCUCAGAGUGAACGCUGGCGGCAUGCCUAACACAUGCAAGUCGAACGAUGGCUUCGGCCAUAGUGGCGCACGGGUGAGUAGCGCGUGGGAACCUGCCCUGAGGUACGGAAUAACAGCGGGAAACUGCUGCUAAUACCGUAUGUCCCCUGAGGGGGAAAGAUUUAUCGCCUUAGGAGGGGCCCGCGUCCGAUUAGCUAGUUGGUGAGGUAACGGCUCACCAAGGCUUCGAUCGGUAGCUGGUCUGAGAGGAUGAUCAGCCACACUGGGACUGAGACACGGCCCAGACUCCUACGGGAGGCAGCAGUGGGGAAUAUUGGACAAUGGGGGCAACCCUGAUCCAGCAAUGCCGCGUGGGUGAUGAAGGCCUUCGGUUGU